Molecule: ribosomal RNA, 468 nt
Filed under: uncultured bacterium
Lineage: Bacteria
Description: partial 16S ribosomal RNA
Rfam family: Bacterial small subunit ribosomal RNA
Source: RNAcentral
GACGAACGCUGGCGGCGUGCUUAACACAUGCAAGUCGAACGGAAAGGCCCUGCUUUUGUGGGGUGCUCGAGUGGCGAACGGGUGAGUAACACGUGAGUAACCUGCCCUUGACUUUGGGAUAACUUCAGGAAACUGGGGCUAAUACCGGAUAGGAGCUCCUGCUGCAUGGUGGGGGUUGGAAAGUUUCGGCGGUUGGGGAUGGACUCGCGGCUUAUCAGCUUGGUGGUGGGGUAGUGGUUUACCAAGGCUUUGACGGGUAGCCGGCCUGAGAGGGUGACCGGCCACAUUGGGACUGAGAUACGGCCCAGACUCCUACGGGAGGCAGCAGGCGGGAAUAUUGCACAAUGGGCGGAAGCCUGAUGCAGCAACGCCGCGUGCGGGAUGACGGCCUGCGGGUUGUAAACCGCUUUCGCCUGUGACGAAGCGUUAGUGACGGUAAUGUGUAAAGAAGCACCGGCUAACUACGUG